This 268-nucleotide ribosomal RNA is filed under the name uncultured Microgenomates group bacterium. RNAcentral's name for it is "partial 16S ribosomal RNA". It matches the Rfam family "Bacterial small subunit ribosomal RNA", at positions 10 to 285 of the family's 1533-position model. The record is from RNAcentral.
AGUUUGAUUCUGGCUCAGGAUGAACGUUGGCGGCGUGCCUGAGAUAUGCAAGUCGAGCGUGCCCUCCGAUUCGGAGGGCAGCGGCGAACGGCUGAGUAACACGUAGGAACUUGCCNNNAAGUAGAGGAUAGCCCAUCGAAAGAUGGGGUAAUACUGUAUGGUCCCCGACGUUACGUCGGGGUAAAGGAUUUAACCGUCCGCUUANNGAGAGACCUGCGGUCUAUCAGGUAGUUGGUAGGGUAACGGCCUACCAAGCCGAUGACGGGUA